UAUUGGUGAGAAUCUAAUGCCCCGAAAAUCCAAGGGUUCCUCCACAAGGUUUGUCCACGGAGGGUGAGUCAGGACCUAAGAUCAGGCCAAAAGGCGUAGUCGAUGGACAACAAGAGAAUAUUUCUGCACUACCCCUUGUUGGUUCCGAGGGAUGGAGGAGACCAAGUUAGCCGAAAGAUGGUUAUCAGUUCAAGGACGCAAGGUGCAUGUAAAUCUCUAAUUCCUCAAAAGUAGCUUUUGGAUAUGUCUUCAAUAAGGAAUAAGAUGACAAAGAUCUUCUUGAUAUAAAGUCCCUAGUAAAACUAACCUCUUCAUUUAUGGAAAUUCGAUCAUAUUGGAAGUUUUCAUAUGUU
Molecule: non-coding RNA, 353 nt
Filed under: Gossypium hirsutum (cotton)
Lineage: Eukaryota; Viridiplantae; Streptophyta; Magnoliopsida; Malvales; Malvaceae
Description: Bacterial large subunit ribosomal RNA
Rfam family: Bacterial large subunit ribosomal RNA
Source: Rfam by way of RNAcentral